RNAcentral lists this ribosomal RNA (497 nucleotides) under uncultured bacterium. RNAcentral describes it as "partial 16S ribosomal RNA". It matches the Rfam family "Bacterial small subunit ribosomal RNA", at positions 28 to 507 of the family's 1533-position model. The record is from RNAcentral.
GAUGAACGCUGGCGGCGUGCCUAAUACAUGCAAGUCGAGCGAACAGACGAGGAGCUUGCUCCUCUGACGUUAGCGGCGGACGGGUGAGUAACACGUGGAUAACCUACCUAUAAGACUGGGAUAACUUCGGGAAACCGGAGCUAAUACCGGAUAACACGUUGAACCGCAUGGUUCAACAGUGAAAGACGGUCUUGCUGUCACUUAUAGAUGGAUCCGCGCCGCAUUAGCUAGUUGGUAAGGUAACGGCUUACCAAGGCAACGAUGCGUAGCCGACCUGAGAGGGUGAUCGGCCCCACUGGAACUGAGACACGGUCCAGACUCCUAAGGGAGGCAGCAGUAGGGAAUCUUCCGCAAUGGGCGAAAGCCUGACGGAGCAACGCCGCGUGAGUGAAGAAGGUCUUCGGAUCGUAAAACUCUGUUAUUAGGGAAGAACAAAUGUGUAAGUAACUAUGCACGUCUUGACGGUACCUAAUCAGAAAGCCACGGCUAACUACGUG